AAUAGAUACCCGGGUAGUCCACGCCGUAAACGAUGAGUGCUAAGUGUUAGAGGGUUUCCGCCCUUUAGUGCUGCAGCUAACGCAUUAAGCACUCCGCCUGGGGAGUACGGCCGCAAGGCUGAAACUCAAAAGAAUUGACGGGGGCCCGCACAAGCGGUGGAGCAUGUGGUUUAAUUCGAAGCAACGCGAAGAACCUUACCAGGUCUUGACAUCCUCUGCCAACCCUAGAGAUAGGGCGUUCCCCUUCGGGGGACAGAGUGACAGGUGGUGCAUGGUUGUCGUCAGCUCGUGUCGUGAGAUGUUGGGUUAAGUCCCGCAACGAGCGCAACCCUUGAUCUUAGUUGCCAGCAUUCAGUUGGGCACUCUAAGGUGACUGCCGGUGACAAACCGGAGGAAGGUGGGGAUGACGUCAAAUCAUCAUGCCCCUUAUGACCUGGGCUACACACGUGCUACAAUGGAUGGUACAAAGAGCAGCGAACCCGCGAGGGUAAGCCAAUCUCAUAAAGCCAUUCUCAGUUCGGAUUGUAGG
RNAcentral lists this ribosomal RNA (529 nucleotides) under uncultured bacterium. RNAcentral describes it as "bacterial SSU rRNA". It matches the Rfam family "Bacterial small subunit ribosomal RNA", at positions 777 to 1304 of the family's 1533-position model. The record is from RNAcentral.